CACGUAGGGUGCGAGCGUUGUCCGGAAUUAUUGGGCGUAAAGAGCUCGUAGGCGGUGUGUCGCGUCGGCCGUGAAAACCUGCAGCUUAACUGUGGGCGUGCGGUCGAUACGGGCAUCACUGGAGUUCGGCAGGGGGGACUGGAAUUCCUGGUGUAGCGGUGAAAUGCGCAGAUAUCAGGAGGAACACCGGUGGCGAAGGCGGGUCUCUGGGCCGAUACUGACGCUGAGGAGCGAAAGCGUGGGGAGCGAACAGG
RNAcentral lists this ribosomal RNA (254 nucleotides) under uncultured bacterium. RNAcentral describes it as "partial 16S ribosomal RNA". It matches the Rfam family "Bacterial small subunit ribosomal RNA", at positions 524 to 776 of the family's 1533-position model. The record is from RNAcentral.